Molecule: ribosomal RNA, 367 nt
Filed under: Veillonella dispar
Lineage: Bacteria; Bacillati; Bacillota; Negativicutes; Veillonellales; Veillonellaceae
Description: bacterial SSU rRNA
Rfam family: Bacterial small subunit ribosomal RNA
Source: RNAcentral
GAAGAGCGAUGGAAGCUUGCUUUCUAUCAAUCUUAGUGGCGAAACGGGUGAGUAACGGUAAUCAACCUGCCCUUCAGAGGGGGACAACAGUUGGAAACGACUGCUAAUACCGCAUCGAUUAAUCUCGGCAUCGAGGAUAGAUGAAAGGUGGCCUCUAUGUAUAAGCUAUCACCUGAAGGAGGGGAUUGCGUCGAUUAGCUAGUUGGAGGGGUAACGGCCCACCAAGGCGAUGAUCAGUAGCCGGUUUGAGAGGAUGAACGGCCACAUUGGGACUGAGACACGGCCCAGACUCAUACGGGAGGCAGCAGUGGGGAAUCUUCCGCAAUGGACGAAAGUCUGACGGAGCAACGCCGCGUGAGUGAUGACG